Ochotona curzoniae (black-lipped pika) is the source of this 110-nucleotide small nuclear RNA. NCBI's taxonomy places the organism in Eukaryota, Metazoa, Chordata, Mammalia, Lagomorpha, Ochotonidae. The record is from RefSeq and is a predicted model, not a curated record.
GCGCUCGCUUCGGCAGCAUAUAUACUAAAUUUGGAACAAUACAGAGAGGAUUAGCAUGCCCCUGCACAAAGAUAAACCAAUCAGCUUACUUUGAACUCAAACCUAAUUUG